Molecule: ribosomal RNA, 494 nt
Filed under: uncultured bacterium
Lineage: Bacteria
Description: partial 16S ribosomal RNA
Rfam family: Bacterial small subunit ribosomal RNA
Source: RNAcentral
GACGAACGCUGGCGGCGCGCUCAACACAUGCAAGUCGAACGGAAAGGCCUGCUUUCCCUUGUGGAUUGCGGGUACUCGAGUGGCGAACGGGUGAGUAACACGUGAGUGAUCUGCCCCCAACUUGGGUAUAAGCCUGGGAAACUGGGUCUAAUUCCCGAUAGGACUGCAGGGUGGUGCCUGUGGUGGAAAACGAUUUUCUAGUGGUUGGGGAUGAGCUCGCGGCCUAUCAGCUUGUUGGUGGGGUAAUGGCCUACCAAGGCGGCGACGGGUAGCCGGCCUGAGAGGGUGGACGGCCACAUUGGGACUGGGAUACGGCCCAGACUCCUACGGGAGGCAGCAGUGGGGAAUAUUGCACAAUGGGCGGAAGCCUGAUGCAGCGACGCCGCGUGGGGGAUGACGGCCUUCGGGUUGUAAACUCCUUUCGACCGCGAGGAAGCCACCUGGUUGGAAGGGUGGUGACGGUAGUGGUAGAAGAAGCACCGGCUAACUACGUG